Long non-coding RNA from Chenopodium quinoa (quinoa), 825 nucleotides. RefSeq lists it as uncharacterized. The transcript is spliced from 3 exons. NCBI's taxonomy places the organism in Eukaryota, Viridiplantae, Streptophyta, Magnoliopsida, Caryophyllales, Amaranthaceae. The record is from RefSeq and is a predicted model, not a curated record.
AAUUUCUAGUUGCUGAUUUUUAUUUUCUCUCAACUUCCUUGGGUUUCUCUCUCCUUAGCUUCUGCGUUCUUCUCGUCUUCUCCUAGGGCUCAAAUUAAGAGGUCUAAAAUCCUCAGUAAUUUGCUACUUUCAAUUCUUGGUUUAUUCAAGAUCUAACGAUUUUUGGGUGAUUUUUUAAUGUCGCAAAUUGUAAUUUCAUUGAGUUCCGCAGAACUAAAUUUUGAUUCGAAAUUGAUAAUGAUUUUGGGGUCUUAAUGCUUGAGAAUCAAUUAUUGAUUGUUUGUGUUAAUUUAAGAAAUUGCGAAGUGAUUUGCGAUUCCUCACCAAGUCGCUAUUGUUGUUGUUCAUCGUCUAGGGUUUGUCCUCUUUGAACAAUGGCUUUCGCUUCCCGGAAUGAGGUACCAAACUCGUUACCACCUCGAAUGAACAAACCCACUUUACUUUCAUGGUCUUUUUCUAUGCCCAAUUUAAAUCUCUCACUCAAUUCUAGAGCUAAUUUGUCAAAUUCCUUUCCCAAACAGGAAAAUGCAUGGCUAAUUUAGUCGAUUUGAGACGUUUGUGUUGGCAGUGUUGCUGCUCAUUGCUACUCAUAAAUGCCGUUCUUGGAUGCUUUUGUUGUGUUUCUUUAUAAGCCUUGUAAUUUAUGUUUUUGUUUGUAUUUAAUGUAUAUUGCACAAUUAACAUAGAUUUUGAUAUAAUAGUAUAUAAUAUAGCUUUUAUAUUAAUUUGGAAAAAUUUCAUUUUUUUAUUUAGAGAAAUGAUUAUUCGCAACUGGUGUAGUCUUUAGCCAAUUGCAAAUAGAAUAUUUUUUAUUAAAAAAAUGGA